AUUGAACCUGAAACUGUUGUGCAUCAUUUCUGUCAAGUAACAUGAGUAGUUUGAUGAUAUAGUUAGUGGUUGCAAAAGCUAAUACCUUGACAAAAUCAUUUCAACAUAAAAAUAUUAGGGUUACGAGUUAGUCUGGAAACCCUGAACACAGUGUUUUUGGACCGUUAUCAGCCUUCAAAAAUUAUUUUAUAUACAGACUAGAAAUAAAAAUAUUGUACACCUUUUUGUUGCAUUACCUUCAUCAUGUCCAUCAUUAUAAAUACCAACAAACACAAAAACUUACCAGUUCCUUCCAUGUGCAUACAGAGUGUCAGACAUCUACUGACAUCUAAAAACUACUGCUACAAAUAUCAAUGUUCCUGUUGCUAUAGUAACACAACAUGGAACUUUCUAAAAAUGUACAUAAAAUUUUAGCUCUUCCCUAACGCCAAAAUAACAUAUAUGUCUGUUUCCUGCUUCCGACCG
RNAcentral lists this long non-coding RNA (465 nucleotides) under Mytilus galloprovincialis (Mediterranean mussel). The record is from RNAcentral. Lineage: Eukaryota; Metazoa; Mollusca; Bivalvia; Mytilida; Mytilidae.